RNAcentral lists this ribosomal RNA (465 nucleotides) under uncultured bacterium. Its description in RNAcentral is "partial 16S ribosomal RNA". It matches the Rfam family "Bacterial small subunit ribosomal RNA", at positions 28 to 507 of the family's 1533-position model. The record is from RNAcentral.
GACGAACGCUGGCGGCGUGCUUAACACAUGCAAGUCGAACGGAAAGGCCCUGCUUGCAGGGUACUCGAGUGGCGAACGGGUGAGUAACACGUGGGUGAUCUGCCCUGCACUUCGGGAUAAGCCUGGGAAACUGGGUCUAAUACCCGAUAGGAGCCCUUUUUAGUGUGAUGGUUGGAAAGUUUUUUCGGUGUAGGAUGAGCUCGCGGCCUAUCAGCUUGUUGGUGGGGUAAUGGCCUACCAAGGCGGCGACGGGUAGCCGGCCUGAGAGGGUGGACGGCCACAUUGGGACUGAGAUACGGCCCAGACUCCUACGGGAGGCAGCAGUGGGGAAUAUUGCACAAUGGGCGCAAGCCUGAUGCAGCGACGCCGCGUGGGGGAUGACGGCCUUCGGGUUGUAAACUCCUUUCGCUAGGGACGAAGCUUUUUGUGACGGUACCUAGAUAAGAAGCACCGGCUAACUACGUG